This 410-nucleotide ribosomal RNA is filed under the name uncultured bacterium. RNAcentral's name for it is "bacterial SSU rRNA". It matches the Rfam family "Bacterial small subunit ribosomal RNA", at positions 107 to 517 of the family's 1533-position model. The record is from RNAcentral.
UGCGUAACGCGUAUGCAAUCUACCUUGUACAGAGAGAUAGCCCAGAGAAAUUUGGAUUAAUACCUCAUAGUAUUGAAUGGCAUCAUUUAAUGAUUAAGGUUUCGGCGGUACAAGAUGAGCAUGCGUCCUAUUAGUUAGAUGGUGAGGUAACGGCUCACCAUGACUACGAUAGGUAGGGGUUCUGAGAGGAUGAUCCCCCACACUGGUACUGAGACACGGACCAGACUCCUACGGGAGGCAGCAGUGAGGAAUAUUGGUCAAUGGACGCAAGUCUGAACCAGCCAUGCCGCGUGCAGGAAGACGGUCCUCUGGAUUGUAAGCUGCUUUUAUUUGGGAAGAAACCCCCGGUCGUGCAUCGGGGCUGACAGUACCAAAGGAAUAAGCACCGGCUAACUCCGUGCCAGCAGCCG